RNAcentral lists this non-coding RNA (32 nucleotides) under Mus musculus (house mouse). Lineage: Eukaryota; Metazoa; Chordata; Mammalia; Rodentia; Muridae. The record is from RNAcentral.
UGUUGGAGUUAACACCCAAAGUGCCGCCCAAU